CCUACGGAAGGCAGCAGUGGGGCAUAUUGCACAAUGGGGGAAACCCUGAUGCAGCGACGCCGCGUGAGUGAAGAAGUAAUUCGUUAUGUAAAGCUCUAUCAGCAGGGAAGAAAAUGACGGUACCUGAGUAAGAAGCCCCGGCUAACUACGUGCCAGCAGCCGCGGUAAUACGUAGGGGGCAAGCGUGAUCCGGAUUUACUGGGGGUAAAGGGAGCGUAGACGGCAGUGCAAGUCUGGAGUGAAAGGCGGGGGCCCAACCCCCGGACUGCUCUUGAAACUGUACGGCUGGAGUGCAGGAGAGGUAAGUGGAAUUCCUUGUGUAGCGGUGAAAUGCGGAGAUAUUAGGAGGAACACCAGUGGCGAAGGCAGCUUACCGGACUGUAACUGACGGUGAAGCUCGAAAGCGUGGGGAGCGAACAGGAUUAGAUACCCUUGUAGUC
This 440-nucleotide ribosomal RNA is filed under the name uncultured bacterium. RNAcentral describes it as "partial 16S ribosomal RNA". It matches the Rfam family "Bacterial small subunit ribosomal RNA", at positions 338 to 795 of the family's 1533-position model. The record is from RNAcentral.